CUGUUCAGCUGCAUUGGGAAGUUUGCCAGUGGACAACCACAGAAAGUCUGCGCGAGAAUAGAAGAGGAGGGCUUGCAAAAGCAGCAGACAAGAUAUCUGCAGUUUUUGGAAACUGUUUUUUAGAUAUAACACCAAUGAAAAAAAUGUAUAAGUAAAUGCAUGCAUGUGUUCAUUGGGAGUAUAUGUAAACAGUGAUUUUUUAAAAUUAGUUUUGU
Pelobates cultripes (western spadefoot toad) is the source of this 215-nucleotide non-coding RNA. Lineage: Eukaryota; Metazoa; Chordata; Amphibia; Anura; Pelobatidae. The record is from the annotation of a GenBank genome assembly.